CGGGUGAGUACAACAUAGGAAAUCUGCCUUAGGGUGGGGGACGAACAGAGGGAAACUUCUGCUAAUACCCCAUAUGAGCUUGGUUGAAAUACCAAUCUUGAAAGUUCCGGCGCCCUAAGAUGAGCCUGUGCCUGAUUAGCUAGUUGGUGGUGUAAUGGACUACCAAGGCGACGAUCAGUAGCUGGUUUGAGAGGAUGAUCAGCCACAAUGGGACUGAGACACGGCCCAUACUCCUACGGAAGGCAGCAG
RNAcentral lists this ribosomal RNA (249 nucleotides) under uncultured bacterium. RNAcentral's name for it is "partial 16S ribosomal RNA". It matches the Rfam family "Bacterial small subunit ribosomal RNA", at positions 103 to 354 of the family's 1533-position model. The record is from RNAcentral.